This 276-nucleotide long non-coding RNA is filed under the name Nicotiana benthamiana. Its description in RNAcentral is "long non-coding RNA (NBEN_LNC031000)". Lineage: Eukaryota; Viridiplantae; Streptophyta; Magnoliopsida; Solanales; Solanaceae. The record is from RNAcentral.
AAGACAUCGAUCAAUAUACCGGUGUCGAAGGAAUACUCUAUGAUGAAAAUGUCCUCUUCAACCUUAUUGGAAUUGGACAAUUUGAUUUUACUCAAGCACAAAAGAGAGCUCCCAUCAAAGGAAUUUUUCCGAAAUUUCGUUUGAUUCUUUAUGUUGUCACUCGGAUUCUUAGACCAAGAAAAAGCAAUCAUACUACAAUUGGCCGAGAAGACGCAAAGAUUAUGCAUGCUAUUAUUUCCAAAGCACGCAUAAAUUGGUGUAAAUUUGUUCUUACAC